Molecule: long non-coding RNA, 1161 nt
Organism: Engraulis encrasicolus (European anchovy)
Lineage: Eukaryota; Metazoa; Chordata; Actinopteri; Clupeiformes; Engraulidae
Exons: 4
Source: RefSeq, a predicted model, not a curated record
CAUAGAAAUAAUCCCGUGGGUGAAAUUCCGCCAAAAUCGGAUGAUGGGGAGAGAAAGUGAAGAGAAAACAUGCCACUCCGAGGAUACCAAUCUUCACGUUUUGUUUCAUGAGGAAAAUGACUAAAGGUUUCUUACAACAGAUGGACCCAAGGGCCUGGAUGACGGAAAACUCCAGAGAAGGGACCUUGAAUUUCUCUCCAUUAACCUAAUCACACAAGAUGAAGAGCCUCACUUCAGGAUCUGUAUAGCAGAGGAGGACGUGUAAGCUGUAAGGCGUUAAGUUCUGCCAGGAGGAUGAGACGAGUACGCAGGUGUCGACGCCUCCACUUCAGCCUCCAUCGCUGGCCGGUCCUCGUCCCAUGAGGAGGCUCUGCGAGGUGUCCCUGCUUUUGACGCCUUGCCACCACAAGGAUUGUGAGAACCACCACCUCCAGCCACCGUCACCAUUUGGUCCCCGUCCUUGCCCCCCCCAACGGCAGGAUAUGCGCCCUCUUCAUCUGAAUUAUUCAAAGCAGGCGGGGGCCUACGCCAAAGAGAAUCACUACUGCAUACUUCAGUGUCUCAAUAAAUAUCUUAAACUUUAAUUUGGUCUAUCGAGUCUUUCAUGGUAGAAGUGGAGCUUCUCCCUAUUCCCCCUCCCACAAAUCCAUGAAAAAUGCACUUUUAUUGACUGUGGAAUUGGACUGUGUAACUAUUUUGUACACAAAUGUUAUAUGACCCACUCUUGCACCUUUAUUGCUAAUCACAGCUCCUUGUCUACCUUUACUGCACUGCCACUUAUAUGACUGAAUACUUAAAGCCCGGCCUCUGGACUGUACAACAAAGCUUUAGUAGUCUAUGCGGAUUGAACUGUGAAUUACUAUUGGUCUGGACUCUGUGCCACAUGGCUCUGUCUGUAAUUCAUCUUCUUAUUCCUGUACAUACGUGUAACCCAUCCUAGUUUUGUAUUGAUGACACAGCCUAUUGUAAAUACUAACCUGAUUUGCCGUAGAUUGUGUAGUGUUGUACUAGCAGUAGCACUUGUACUAUAUUAUUACUUGAUAUAUAUUGCUUUUUUGCAUAUGGGGGCUGUUUCAAAACUACAUCUCACUGGACUUGUAUAGUGGCAGUGUUAAUUUUGCUGCAAAUCUAUGCUGCUAUGAGUGAAAUGGUCACAAAGAA